This 1061-nucleotide ribosomal RNA is filed under the name Staphylococcus pseudintermedius. RNAcentral describes it as "partial 23S ribosomal RNA". It matches the Rfam family "Bacterial large subunit ribosomal RNA", at positions 407 to 1473 of the family's 2925-position model. The record is from RNAcentral. Lineage: Bacteria; Bacillati; Bacillota; Bacilli; Caryophanales; Staphylococcaceae.
CCUGAGUACGACGGAGCACGUGAAAUUCCGUCGGAAUCUGGGAGGACCAUCUCCUAAGGCUAAAUACUCUCUAGUGACCGAUAGUGAACCAGUACCGUGAGGGAAAGGUGAAAAGUACCCCGGAAGGGGAGUGAAAGAGAACUUGAAACCGUGUGCUUACAAGUAGUCAGAGCCCGUUAAUGGGUGAUGGCGUGCCUUUUGUAGAAUGAACCGGCGAGUUACGAUCUGAUGCAAGGUUAAGCAGAAAAUGUGGAGCCGUAGCGAAAGCGAGUCUGAAUAGGGCGAAUGAGUAUUUGGUCGUAGACCCGAAACCAGGUGAUCUACCCUUGGUCAGGUUGAAGUUCAGGUAACACUGAAUGGAGGACCGAACCGACUUACGUUGAAAAGUGAGCGGAUGAACUGAGGGUAGCGGAGAAAUUCCAAUCGAACUUGGAGAUAGCUGGUUCUCUCCGAAAUAGCUUUAGGGCUAGCCUCAAGUGAUGAUUAUUGGAGGUAGAGCACUGUUUGGACGAGGGGCCCCUCUCGGGUUACCGAAUUCAGACAAACUCCGAAUGCCAAAUAAUUUAACUUGGGAGUCAGAAUGUGGGUGAUAAGGUCCAUAUUCGAAAGGGAAACAGCCCAGACCACCAGCUAAGGUCCCAAAAUAUAUGUUAAGUGGAAAAGGAUGUGGCGUUGCCCAGACAACUAGGAUGUUGGCUUAGAAGCAGCCAUCAUUUAAAGAGUGCGUAAUAGCUCACUAGUCGAGUGACACUGCGCCGAAAAUGUACCGGGGCUAAACAUAUUACCGAAGCUGUGGAUUGUCCUUUGGACAAUGGUAGGAGAGCGUUCUAAGGGCGUUGAAGCAUGAUCGCAAGGACAUGUGGAGCGCUUAGAAGUGAGAAUGCCGGUGUGAGUAGCGAAAGACGGGUGAGAAUCCCGUCCACCGAUUGACUAAGGUUUCCAGAGGAAGGCUCGUCCGCUCUGGGUUAGUCGGGUCCUAAGCUGAGGCCGACAGGCGUAGGCGAUGGAUAACAGGUUGAUAUUCCUGUACCACCAUUAUUCGUUUUAAGCGAUGGGGGGAC